UUCCAUGGUGGAUCGUGCGGGGAGACCUCCGGGUCUGCCGGGUCCUACUGCCGGUCUGUCAACCCCGCACGUUCCACCUCCCUU
This 84-nucleotide non-coding RNA is filed under the name Pseudomonas citronellolis. The record is from RNAcentral. Lineage: Bacteria; Pseudomonadati; Pseudomonadota; Gammaproteobacteria; Pseudomonadales; Pseudomonadaceae.